GUCUGAAAAAUCGAGAGAGUGUUCCUGUUAAUCAUCGGUCGAAUUUCUUAUUUGCCCGAUCGAAUCGGACGGUUUCGAGAUUGGUUGAACAUUGUUUGGGAAAUACUUGUAUCAGAAAUCGAUAUAACUGUCGCGAUCGACUAAGAUCUUUAAUCGGUGCGUGGAUUCCAUGGUUUAACUAAAUCGAUUCGAGACUGGUAUAUAAAAAAAUCCUAAUCCCUCUAGACUCUGGUUUCUACAUCAUAGAAUUCGAAAAUCUGUUCACAAGGAUGUAAUAUAGGAUAUCGUGGUUCCACCAAAUUUUCAUUGAAAAUAUCUGUCGCGAAUCCAAUUCUACACGCACACAGUUUGGCCAGUUUGUUCCAAAGGGUGUUUUACGACUUUGCAAAGUACACUUUGCGAGUGGUAUAUAUUCUGAUAGCCUGUUAAAGACGGCCAGUUAAGCGAGGUGUGAAGAUAGAGAUAGAUUUAUCAGAUUCGAAGUUUUUGGUUAAAUUUCCAUCGAUUUAUCAUUCACUCUGUGAAAAAGAGAUGGGUUUUAAUCGCGUCUACCUUUACCUCACUUUAUUCCACACAAUAUCAAUUAAAAUUUCCCAUUUUUGUGGAUAGAUCCGCGCGAUAAAGUGAUAAAUGAAAACUGUGUCUGGCGAUACGACAUUAAAGGGUUCCGGCUGAUUUAAUACGAACAAACGAAAGCUUGUCAACAAACUUUAUUCCGACCAUUUCGAUAUUACGCCUGGUUUAAUCUUCAAGUAGGUAUCCGUAUAAUAUUCAGCUUUCAACCAAUUAAACUCGCGCGAUGCGCUAUUUGAAACGCAUGUGGAGUCAUGAAAACGACGAUUAUAGCAUAUUCCAGGUUAACGUGUUUACAUUGAUUAUUUCCAGUUACCACGGAUUUAGCAAGCUGUGCGUUUUACGACAUGCAAAUACGUGGCCCAUUAAUAAUAAUUUUUAAUAUUAUACAAAGGAUACUUUGUAUUUGCAGGAAGAAGCGAAUCAAAAAAGCGAACAACUAAUUUCUCUGAUAGUUCAGGUAUUUGUUUGCGAAGUAGUUUUCCUCUCAUGUGCAAUGUAGAUUCAUGAAAUACGUGGAAGGAAUCAAGGAACUUUGCUCGGAUAAACUUUGAAAUUUCAAUUUCGGAUAUUUGAUAUUCUAUUCUAGGAGAAGGGUUUAUAUCGAUGUAUCAUCGUAGAUUCGAAUUCGUUAUAAAGCAUUAUAAAUUAAACGCUCAGUGUCGUCGAAUAUAAUAUUAUUUUAACACUAGAACUAAUUUUUUUUUUUAAAUAUUUUUUUGAAAAUAAGAUGACUUUUACAAGUACAUCAAAGUAUUAAAUAUUAUGUAUUUCAUUUUUUCUUAAAUAUAGUAAUCUAGUAGUUCCAAUGUCAAAACAAACUAUAUCGAGAAGAAUGUAAUAAUAUUUUUUGAUUUCAGAAGCUUUCAAAAGUUAUGUGUUAAAAAGAAAAAGAGAGAGAGAGAGAAAGAGAGACAUUAAUUUGUCGUAUCGUUUCCCAAUACGGAAUAGAAGAUUCUAAAAUAAAUCUUGGUACAAAAAAAAGAAUAUCCGUUUGUAAUUGAAAUUCGUAUGAAGUGUAGAUACUCUCCGCUGUACAAUGGAGAGGUUCCUUGGCAAUCAUAUAUUAUAGUUCGCGCGGAUUCACCAGGCUUGAAAUCUCCAUUACACGGAAGAAAUCCAAAGAGAUUUUUUACGUUUAUUUCACACUUUUACCUCUUUCUCUCUCCCUCUCUCUCUCCGUUUUCCCUCCUUUAAUCCACUUAUACGUUCAUUAACUUUUUUUUUGGAAAACGAAUGAAUCUUUUUCUUCUACACGGAUUUUAAUCUUCUUUUUUUAAUUUUACUUCUCCCGUCGAGGAAUAUCGCGAGGAAUAAAGGAAUAAUGGAUGAAGAAGCAACGAAUAUUUUGCUAAAAAUCGAAAGGUUAAAAAGGCAAUUAACAUGGGUGCGUUUCCAUUUCUUUUUGUUCGCGGGAUAAUUCGAGGCACGUGCGAUCGACGAUGCACCGAUCACGGCGUACACCUUCGUUUAAAUGAAUUUCCCACGGCAGAAACCUAUUGUCAGCUUGCUUUCGAUCGCACACCGACGACGUACGCUUUUAUUCAUCUCGCGAUUAAACGAGGCGUUGAAUUGCAGUGGAAAUGCUUUCGAGAAUUCAGUUACCUCUCACGGCGGCGGCGGUCGCGGUGGCUGCGAGUAAAGAAAUUUAUUGGAAACUGUUCCCCUUCUUCAAUGGGGAAAUGUUGACCUAUUUUUUUUCUCUUUUUUCCUCGCGCACCGUCGAUCAAUGCUCGUAUCCCUCGAAUUCUUUCCCUCUACAACUUUCAUUUAUUUAUUCUCCAAAUUGUCACUGUAAUAUCCCUUUAUUUCUUUCUCAGAAGAAACGAACUUUUCAGAUGCGAUAAUCCAAGGUGAAGAUCAAUAAUAAUAAUAAUAACAAACUUCUCGAGAGUUUCCGGAACGGGAUAAUUUUCUCCUUUCUUCUUUCCAAAGGGAAAUAUACACUCGCUAAUAUCUUCUUAUUAACCUCGAUGAAUUAUUUCAUUGAUAUUUAAAAGGAUUUCUAAGUGGCGGGUUUGAAUUUUUCAUCGAACGCUUUACUCGAACGCAACAUGGCGAUGAUGGUCGUUGAGCAAGAGGAAGCAUCGGAAGAAGAAGAAGAAGAAAGUCGAUCGAAGGUGCACGAAAACUGGAGGAGGGAGGGAGGGAAGUAUCGAAGAAAUUUCGUUCAUCAUGCAAAAAUAAACACGGAUACAUACUACUUGCGAGAAUACGAACGACAAUUGGCUAAAUACCUAAAGCGAAUUUCACUCCGGUCCACGCCUGUCGAACGUAAUUGAUCAGCCUCCUGUAGAGGGGCCUAGGCGGCCUUUUCGUCGAGGUGCCCUCCUCCUCGUCCCCCUGCCCGUCGCUGUCCAACGCUCCCGGCGGCGGCCCCACGCCUGUCAGCGUGCCAACCUGGUUCCUCUCCCCGAGAAUGUUCACCACCUCUCGCAGCUCAGGCGCUACGCCCUGCAGUCCUGAAUUGUAAUUCGCGGGGGCGACGCCUGAACCGAGGAGGCUCGCGCCGCCCCCGCGACCUCUGCCGCGGCCACGGCUACCACGACCCCAGGCGGCACCGCUACCUUCGAGAUCACAACACCGAGUUACAACGCUUAAACGCUGCGCGACGAUUCCACCAAACUCGCUAUAAUCGUUGCGUGCUCUGGGUGCAAGUGUGUGCGAUCUACGUAAAACGCUACGGGUAUCGCCAAUUUAUCCGAAAAUCGAUUUAUUUUUAUUCUCCCGUUCAGGGAUGCUUCGUCGUGGAAACGUUGCUCGUGCAAAUGUACAGAGAUGCGUUUCAACUUUAUAAAAAGAACUUUAGGAAAUUUUGGUUUUUUCAAAGAAAGACCGUCAAACGGGUUCGUUUUCCUUUUCGUUAAAGCGGAAACUUUUGAACUUUCGGCCUGCAACGGUUAAUUCGCCGUGUUUAUUUCGUAAAAUAUUUCGUAAAAUAUUAUUACGAACUUUCGAACGUAUUUAUUUAUAGCGGGGGAGAGAAGGGAGUUUCGUCACGUGGAUUUUAACGAAACUUUUAACUCGCAGCGGACUUGUUCCUCUUUAAUCAAACGCAUUUAGGAGCAGAUACUCCAAAGUUCCCGAGCUAUUUGCUUUCAAAGCUUUCCGCGUGCCUUUAUCGUUACCUGAUCGUAUUAUGUGCAAGUUUGUUCAAAUAUCCGAGCAACUAUCUAUGAUUUCUAGCAGAAAGCUCAGAGUUCUUUACUCUUCUUAAUCUCGACUGAGCGUCUCGAACGAAAGUGUAUCUAAGUAAACGUAUAC
Molecule: long non-coding RNA, 3837 nt
Organism: Apis cerana (Asiatic honeybee)
Lineage: Eukaryota; Metazoa; Arthropoda; Insecta; Hymenoptera; Apidae
Source: RefSeq, a predicted model, not a curated record